This 558-nucleotide long non-coding RNA is filed under the name Anas platyrhynchos (mallard). RNAcentral describes it as "lncRNA (ENSAPLG00020008397.1)". The record is from RNAcentral. Lineage: Eukaryota; Metazoa; Chordata; Aves; Anseriformes; Anatidae.
UCUCUCCCCUUGCAAUUGGCAGCGAGUAGCAAGGGGAAGGUGUUGGCACAGACCUGGGUAGGCUUACGGUGCAUAAAUGUACAUUAAGCAUCAUCUGGACUCCAGGGGUGGGGGAAGCUGCCAAGUUCAACUCUGCCCUUCUCUUCUGUCAUCGUUUCCCUUUUUCCCCUUCAUGUCAAAUACGUUCAUGCCGGGUGCUGGACCUGCUCAUCCUGGAAGCAAGGAAAGGCUUCAGUCCUUGGCUGAAGGAGGGGCAAAUUCAGUCCCUCUUAGUUCUGAAGUGUUUGCUCCUGUGACCGCUUUUCCAGACCCGUGGUUUUACCUUGGAGUUCCUGUGCUAGAGGUGACUUGUAGAAGCACCAAGCUUGUUUCAGCUCUGCGUGUGGCAGGAGCUGCCUGGCCAGAUGUUCCUGCUGCCUUCCCUUGUGCUUGCCCCAGUGCUUCUCUGAUCCUCUUGUGGAGCCAACAGCCAGGUUACAUUUGGGAAGAACAUUAAACAGGCUGAAAACUAAAACAGCAAAAGAAGUGAGUUGUUUUUGCAGGUGUAGUGAGUUAAGU